AAUAGUAUUGUACUAGAAACCCAAAGAAUUUGGCGGUAUUUUAUUUCUUUUUUAGAGGAACCUGUCCUGUAAUUGAUAGUCCACGAUGGAAAUUACUUGUUUUUGUAUUCAUUUUGUAUACCUCCGUCAUCAGAGUAUCUUUUUAGAGUUAAUAUUCUAAAUAUACAAAAUAUAUUAUGUCAGGUCAAGGUGCAAUUUAUGGACAAGUAGAGAUGGGUUACAAUAAAAUUAUUUAUACGGAUUAUUAUUAUUAUAGAUAAUAUGAAGGUGGAUUUAAAAGUAAAAUUAUUUACUUGAUAUUUUGAUUUUAGCUCUAAAAUAUGCACACAUCGCCCGUCGCUCUUAUUUUAAAAUAAGAUAAGUCGUAACAUAGUAGGGGUACCGGAAGGUGUCCCUAGU
RNAcentral lists this ribosomal RNA (399 nucleotides) under Crocothemis servilia. Its description in RNAcentral is "partial 12S ribosomal RNA". The record is from RNAcentral. Lineage: Eukaryota; Metazoa; Arthropoda; Insecta; Odonata; Libellulidae.